RNAcentral lists this non-coding RNA (28 nucleotides) under Rattus norvegicus (Norway rat). The record is from RNAcentral. Lineage: Eukaryota; Metazoa; Chordata; Mammalia; Rodentia; Muridae.
UCAGCCAUCCUCCUUAAAGAUCCUUCCA